CCUACGGGAGGCAGCAGUGGGGAAUAUUGGGCAAUGGGCGCAAGCCUGACCCAGCAACGCCGCGUGAAGGAAGAAGGCUUUCGGGUUGUAAACUUCUUUUCUCAGGGACGAAGAAAGUGACGGUACCUGAGGAAUAAGCCACGGCUAACUACGUGCCAGCAGCCGCGGUAAUACGUAGGUGGCAAGCGUUAUCCGGAUUUACUGGGUGUAAAGGGCGUGUAGGCGGGAAAGCAAGUCAGAUGUGAAAACCAUGGGCUCAACCUGUGGCCUGCAUUUGAAACUGUUUUUCUUGAGUACUGGGGAGGCAGACGGAAUUCCUCGUGUAGCGGUGAAAUGCGUAGAUAUGAGGAGGAACACCAGUGGCGAAGGCGGUCUGCUGGACAGCAACUGACGCUGAGGCGCGAAAGCGUGGGGAGCAAACAGGAUUAGAUACCCGGGUAGUC
This 443-nucleotide ribosomal RNA is filed under the name uncultured bacterium. RNAcentral describes it as "partial 16S ribosomal RNA". It matches the Rfam family "Bacterial small subunit ribosomal RNA", at positions 338 to 795 of the family's 1533-position model. The record is from RNAcentral.